This 508-nucleotide long non-coding RNA is filed under the name Homo sapiens (human). Its description in RNAcentral is "non-protein coding lnc-RIT2-2:3". The record is from RNAcentral. Lineage: Eukaryota; Metazoa; Chordata; Mammalia; Primates; Hominidae.
AGCAAUCAGCGAGACUCCGUGGGCGUAGGACCUCCGAGCCAGGUGCGGGAUGUAAUCUCGUGGUGCACCGUUUUUCUUAAGCCGGUCCGAAAAGCGCAAUAUUCGGUUGGGAGUGACCCGAUUUUCCAGAGAUGAGGUCUCACAAUAUUGCCCAGGCUGGUCUCAAGUCCCUGGACUCAAGUGACCCUCCUGCGUUGACCUCCCAAAGUGCUGUUAUUACAAGCAUGAGCCACGGUGCCCAGCCACCACCAGCCUCCUUUCACAGAGACUGAAUUUCAAUCAGCUGCUCUCAGUUGACAAUGAUAAAAUUAUCUCUAUAUGGGCAAAUGCGUGCUCUUUGUCGAAAAAGAAAGCUUCAGCUUCAUGUUCCAGGGACGGUCAAGUUGGUAUCCAUCGUGAAGCUAAAUGAAUAUCUGGACAGGAGUCAGACAAAGGGAAGGAGAAUCCAGGGGAAGAUGAAGCAGCUGCAGGCCUGUCUGCUACCCUAUAUCCGGGGAAGAGCCAGAAA